RNAcentral lists this signal recognition particle RNA (100 nucleotides) under Oscillospiraceae bacterium. Its description in RNAcentral is "signal recognition particle sRNA small type". It matches the Rfam family "Bacterial small signal recognition particle RNA". From Rfam's summary of the family: The signal recognition particle (SRP) is a universally conserved ribonucleoprotein involved in the co-translational targeting of proteins to membranes. Archaeal SRP consists of a 7S RNA and homologues of the eukaryotic SRP19 and SRP54 proteins. The record is from RNAcentral. Lineage: Bacteria; Bacillati; Bacillota; Clostridia; Eubacteriales; Oscillospiraceae.
GGAUGGGUCUUGUGCAAUUUGCAGCUGUGAACCAUGUCAGGUGGGGAACCAAGCAGCAUUAAGCAGUGUCGCAGAUGUGCCACGAGGUUGCCUGUUCUGA